Molecule: long non-coding RNA, 712 nt
Filed under: Bos taurus (domestic cattle)
Lineage: Eukaryota; Metazoa; Chordata; Mammalia; Artiodactyla; Bovidae
Description: long non-coding RNA NONBTAT017302
Source: RNAcentral
AUGAUACAUGAAACUUUAUUAAAAAGAGAAAUGGUAUAAUCAAACUACUUUUUGGUUUCAUUUUCAUUAAAAAAAAUAAGCUAAGAGAAAAGGAAAAGACUUACAACUAAAUAAUUUGUUUUCUAGGUCAGUUAUAAAUAAGGCAUUUAUCAUGAUUAAUAUUAUGAAAUUAUAUAGCCUACACAUGUCUGAAAACUGUAAGCACAUACUAAAAAUCACAUUAUCAGUGGUUAGCAGUCUGGAAUCCAGAUCCUUGGGUAUCAUGUUUGAUAUGACAUUCAAGCAAACUAUGAACAGAACUAUUAGCAUUUGCAUCCUGUUUAUGUAAGACUAUAGCUUCUAUCAAAUUACUCAUUUCCCUUCACCAAGAUGAAGAUAAGACAGUAUGAAAGGUCCCUCCACCAAUAUUUAUUAGGUCCUACUUGUUCACUUGGACAGCCCUGUAACCCACUGCUAAGGCAGAUGUACUAACAGCCUCCAUCUCACAGCAGCAUGGGCUAAGGGCAAUUUCUCAGUCUAGUAAUAAACAAUGUUACUUUUAUCAAUCUUACACCUAGAGCUGAGGCAUAUAUAUACAGAGUAUGGAUUGCCUCUUAAUGGGUUGAGCUUAGUUGUUCAAUAUUUUAUUUGGCAUUUGAGACUUGAAAAUUAUAAAAAUAUAUCUCAAAGUUGAUUUAUUGGUUUAAAAAUUUGCUACCGGGACUCUCUUUUA